GAUGAACGCUGGCGGCGUGCCUAAUACAUGCAAGUCGAGCGAACAGACGAGGAGCUUGCUCCUCUGACGUUAGCGGCGGACGGGUGAGUAACACGUGGAUAACCUACCUAUAAGACUGGGAUAACUUCGGGAAACCGGAGCUAAUACCGGAUAAUAUAUUGAACCGCAUGGUUCAAUAGUGAAAGACGGUUUUGCUGUCACUUAUAGAUGGAUCCGCGCCGCAUUAGCUAGUUGGUAAGGUAACGGCUUACCAAGGCAACGAUGCGUAGCCGACCUGAGAGGGUGAUCGGCCACUCUGGAACUGCGACACGGUCCAGCCUCCUACGGGAGGCAGCAGUAGGGACUCUUCCGCAAUGGGCGAAAGCCUGACGGAGCAACGCCGCGUGAGUGAUGAAGGUCUUCGGUUCGUAAAACUCUGUUAUUCGGGAAGAACAAAUGUGUAAGUAACUAUGCCCGUCUUGACGGUACCUAAUCAGAAAGCCACGGCGAACUACGU
This 496-nucleotide ribosomal RNA is filed under the name uncultured bacterium. Its description in RNAcentral is "partial 16S ribosomal RNA". It matches the Rfam family "Bacterial small subunit ribosomal RNA", at positions 28 to 506 of the family's 1533-position model. The record is from RNAcentral.